ACUAGCUCAAGCUAGCCCCAGCAAGAAUUACUCAUACAAUAAACAUAAACUUUUCAUAUUCCUAUUUCCCUGGAUAAAGGGUUAUUUAUAUACAAGAAUAUUGCCUUGCUCAAUUCAACAUCAUAUGCUUGGUGUGAUCCGCAAAGUGUGCUAACGGAAAUUUCUCCAAAUCAUUCACUGACAUCUGUCCCAUGCUAGAAUCUUCUAUUCCUCCAUUCUGAUUUGCAGCAGCCAGCCCUUUCUUCCAUUUCUUUCUAUUAUACACCCGUAAAGGCCUUGAACUUUGGCCUAAGAAAGCUCAAUCCAUGUUUGGACUGCUAACAUUACUUCCCCCCCUGAUGUUGCCUUGUCCUUAAGGCUUAAAGAAGGAAACUGAUUAAUUGCAUCAAUAUAAUUCAUUCAAGUAGCUUCUUCUACUGAAUACCCUUUCCACUUGAUUAAAAGUUGAGGAACUUGAUCUCCAUUAACAUCAACAAUUCUCUCCUCUAAUAUUUCUUCAAGUUCAACAAAGUGUUCCUCCACCUCCAACGCCUUAGGCAACUCAUGAAGAACCUUAUGAUUUCCCAAAACCCUUUUCAAUUGUGACACAUGAAAUACAUGAUGGAUCCUAACUCCUUCCGGUAGCUGUAAUUUAUAAGCUACAUUCCCAAUGUUUUGCACAAUGGUAAAAGGACCAUAAUAUCGAGCAGCAAGUUUGGAAUAAACAAUUUGCUAAAGAGUGGAUUGGCGGUGUGGCCUGAGCUUGAGAAAAACAGAAUCGCCAACAACAAAAUUGACAUCCUCACGAUGUUUAUUAGCUGCUUUAACCAUUCGUUGCUGUGCCUUUGACAAAUUAUACUUUAAUUGUCAAAGAAGCUCAUCUCGUGUGGCCAAUUCUUUUGCUACAGCCUCCACUUUGGUCUCUCCAGGUAAGAACUGUUGCAAAGUAAGGGGUGGCCUGCCAUAAACCGCUUCAAAAUGAGUUAAACCAGCAGCUAUAUGAUAGCUUGAAUUAUACCAUUAUUCCGCCCAAGGAAGCCAUCUACUCCAUUGCUUGGGUCGCUCAGAAGCAAAACACCUUAAAUAAGUUUCUAAUCCUUUAGCCAAAACCUCUGUCUGCCCGUCAAUUUCAGGAUGAUAAGCAGUACUCAUUUGCAGCUGAGUUCCUUGCAAUUUAAAUAAUUCAGACCAGAAAAUGCUUAGAAACAAAAGAUCUCGAUCACUUACAAUAGAUCAAGGCAUUCCAUGAAGGCGUAUAAUCUCCUUAGCAAACAGCUCAGCUACUGUUUUAAUUGUAUAAGGAUGGCGCAGCCCAAGAAAAUGUCCAUAUUUUGAUAGACAAUCAACCACAACAAGAAUGGCAUCAACACCAUUAGAUUUAGGAAGUCCUGUGAUGAAAUCCAAAGAAAUAUCCUCUCAAACACGAUCCGGAAUAGGAAGUGGUUGCAAUAACCCAGCAGGAGAAGUAAUCUCAUAUUUGUGUUUUUGGCAAAGAAGACACUCUGCUACAAAAAGCUGAACUGAUUUCAUCAUUCCUUGCCAACAGAGAUUAGAUGCCACCCUCUUGUAAGUUCUGAAGGCACCAGAAUGACCCCCUAAAGGGGAAGAGUGAAAUUCUUAUAAUAAUUUCUUGAUCCAAGGAGAAGAUGCUGAUAUUACCAACCUGCCUUUAUAAAACAAUCUCCCUUGAAUGAGAGAAUAAUGAACAUGGGACUCAGGAUUAGAUUGAGGACCCUGAAUAAUUUUUUGAAGCUUCGGAUCACUUGCCACUACCCGUACAAUUUGCUGCCAAUCCAUCCAUUGGGGAAUGCUUAUAACUGUUAACGUCAUAUCCUCAUCCCUUCGAGAUAAAGCAUCUGCUGCGGAAUUAGAAUAGCCUGGUUUGUAUAAAAUCUAAAAAUCAUAACCAAGCAACUUUGCUCCCCAAAAUUGUUGGGCAGGAGCUUGAAGUAAAUGUCGAAGACUGCUCUAGUCAAUAUGAACUAUGAAUUUUCGCCCAAUUAAGUAAGGACGCCAAUGUUGAACCGCGAGGACAAGAGCUAUCAUUUCACGCUUGCAAGCAGAUUUUGAAAGAGAUUGGGGGGAUAAUGCCUUAUUGAAAUAAGCAAUUGGCCUCUUUUCUUGCAUCAAGACCGCUCCUACUUCUGUACCUGAGGCAUCACACUCAACAACAAAUGUUUUAGAAAAAUCUGGUGCUGCCAAAACCGGGGAACGUACCAAGGCUUGUUUGAGGUGAUCAAAGGCAUGCUGAGCUUGUGGAUUCCAAAGUAAUUUCCCAUUAUGUUCUUUUUUUAAUAAUUGAGUGAGAGGUUGUGCUAGAAGACCAUAUCCUUUUAUGAAUCUGCAACAGUACCUAGUCAACCUGAGAAAUCCCCUUACUGCCUUUAGCGACUUAGGUUGGCGCCAAUUAACAACACUCGAAACCUUGGAAGGAUCCAUAGCAACCCCUUGAGCUGAAACUAUAUGACCCAGAUAUUCCACCAUAGUCCUGCCAAGAGAGCUCUUUUUCUGAUUCACUUGAAAUGGAUUCUGCUUUAGUAAAUUCAACACCACUCUAACAUGCUGCAGAUGUUCAUUCCAUGUCUUGCUGUAGAUUAGUAUGUCGUUAAAGAAUACAAGCACAAAACAACAAAGAUAUGGUCGGAACAAGUCGUUCAUGGUCACUUGAAAAGUCGCAGAAGCAUUCAUUAAACCAAAUGGCAUUACUACAAACUCAUAGUGACCCGAAUGGGUUUGGAAAGCUGUCUUCGAAAUAUCUGCUUCAGAUACUCGUAUCUGAAAAUACCCUGACUUCAUAUCGAGUUUAGAGAAAUAUUUAGCUCCUGCAGGCUCAUCCAGCAUUUCAUUAAUCACUGGAAUUGGAUAUUUAUCUGGAAUGAUAGCCUUGUUUAGAGCUCUGUAAUAGAUACAAAAUCUCCAGUUUCCGAUUUUUUUUU
Molecule: unclassified non-coding RNA, 2915 nt
Filed under: Hevea brasiliensis (rubber tree)
Lineage: Eukaryota; Viridiplantae; Streptophyta; Magnoliopsida; Malpighiales; Euphorbiaceae
Source: RNAcentral